UACGUAGGGUGCGAGCGUUAAUCGGAAUUACUGGGCGUAAAGCGUGCGCAGGCGGUUGGCCAAGUCAGCUGUGAAAGCCCCGGGCUUAACCUGGGAACUGCGUUUGAAACUGGGGAGCUAGAGUGUAGAAGAGGGGGGUGGAAUUCCAGGUGUAGCAGUGAAAUGCGUAGAGAUCUGGAGGAACACCGAUGGCGAAGGCAGCCCCCUGGGCUAACACUGACGCUCAUGCACGAAAGCGUGGGGAGCAAACAGG
Molecule: ribosomal RNA, 253 nt
Filed under: uncultured bacterium
Lineage: Bacteria
Description: partial 16S ribosomal RNA
Rfam family: Bacterial small subunit ribosomal RNA
Source: RNAcentral